This 73-nucleotide transfer RNA is filed under the name Planctomycetota bacterium. RNAcentral describes it as "Planctomycetes bacterium tRNA-Ala". It matches the Rfam family "tRNA". From Rfam's summary of the family: Transfer RNA (tRNA) molecules are approximately 80 nucleotides in length. Their secondary structure includes four short double-helical elements and three loops (D, anti-codon, and T loops). The record is from RNAcentral. Lineage: Bacteria; Pseudomonadati; Planctomycetota.
GGGGCGGUAGCUCAGUUGGGAGAGCGCUAGAAUCGCACUCUAGAGGUCGGGAGUUCGAAUCUCCUCCGCUCCA